This 254-nucleotide ribosomal RNA is filed under the name uncultured bacterium. RNAcentral's name for it is "partial 16S ribosomal RNA". It matches the Rfam family "Bacterial small subunit ribosomal RNA", at positions 524 to 777 of the family's 1533-position model. The record is from RNAcentral.
UACGUAGGGCGCAAGCGUUAUCCGGAAUUAUUGGGCGUAAAGAGCGCGUAGGCGGUCCGAUAAGUCGGCUGUGAAAGUCAGGGGCUCAACCCUUGAAAGCCGGCCGAUACUGUCGGACUAGAGUCCGGAAGAGGCAAGUGGAAUUCCCGGUGUAGCGGUGAAAUGCGCAGAUAUCGGGAGGAACACCAAUGGCGAAGGCAGCUUGCUGGGACGGUACUGACGCUGAGGCGCGAAAGCGUGGGGAGCAAACAGGG